AUUCUGCAUGAAAAAUCCCCCUAAGCAGGACGCAGGACAUCAAUGACUUCACUUACAGCAACAUAAACACGUGAAGAUGAAAAGAAGAAGAUUUUAAACACUACAAACCUUGUACCAGGAAAAUGCAAUAUGGCUGUCCCAUCAUGAACUUGGGCAGGAUCAGGAAUAUCUGAUCCGAGGUCAAAGUCAGAGGACCAGCACAAAACCCCGGAGGCGUUAUUGACAACGCUCCAGGCUGGGAGGUUUUGGAGACUGACAGAUGUGCACUGCAGCUUCCCACACAGACUGUGCCUGCAUGGAAUAAAAGAUACUCAGAGACAAGGUAGGGCCAGAUUCUGCCACUCCUUCCCUGAGGAUCAUAUUCUGGAUAAUAAGUUGGCAGCUGGUGUGGAUCACCACUGGCAGUUUUACUCUGUGUGAUUCUCUCCACACUGUUAGACACUGAUUUCAAAGGAGUUUUCAACAACAAAUGUACAGGAUUUCCUCAGCAGGGCUCCCACCAGCUUGGUGUCCAUGGAAAUGAAGGCCACAAGGAAAUGUCUUUGUGCCACAAGGAAAUAUCCCACCUGUGCCAGAGCAAGAGCCCUGGAGAUGCUCUGGACUUCAGCUCAAGGGAGAAACAGAAAUAUAUUUACCCUGAGGAGCCUGUCCCUGCUGGAGGUGCUGUUUGAUGAAAAUGUGUAUUUCACAGACUGCUUCACAAACAUCUCAUGCUCCAGGCUGCCAUUCAGCACCCCACAGUGGAAGGGGAUACCCUGCCCAUCUUCCAAUUCGUAAAGCACAUGUUCAAAUGUGCUGGAUGUGUUGAGGGGCUCCAUUCCAUACCAUUUGCCUCCAAUGUAGAGAAUUCCCCUAACAAUCAUAAUAGAAUGAAACAUUAUUUCAUCAUUUUUUCCCUCGUGAUGACUAGAUGAAUGAAUAACAGCUAGAUACUUAGACACUAUGUGGAAACAAAUUAUUAUGUGAAAUCAUAUUAAUAUGGGGGUAAGUUCAAAUGCCCAAUAAAAGACAAAACAGAACUUAUU
This is a long non-coding RNA of Taeniopygia guttata (zebra finch), 1025 nucleotides long. RefSeq lists it as uncharacterized. NCBI's taxonomy places the organism in Eukaryota, Metazoa, Chordata, Aves, Passeriformes, Estrildidae. The record is from RefSeq and is a predicted model, not a curated record.